This 346-nucleotide long non-coding RNA is filed under the name Gallus gallus (chicken). Its description in RNAcentral is "lncRNA (ENSGALG00010028643.1)". The record is from RNAcentral. Lineage: Eukaryota; Metazoa; Chordata; Aves; Galliformes; Phasianidae.
AAUGGUUGUGGCCUUUUGGGCAAGCCUGUGAGGAGAGGUGUUUGGGCAGGCUGGUUGUUUUGCAGGGGAAGUGCCGUUUCAGUAGUUUGUUGCCAUGCUUGGGUGGUGCUUGUUUGACAAAUAGUCAUCCUCUAGACGAGCAGUGCUCUGGCGGCAGGGGAGUGAGAAAUGUCAUGUACAGCCAGUCUUCUCCACGAGCCUUACACUGCCUCUCCCCCAGUGUCUGUAAAUGGCUGUAGAAAUGGCAGGGGGAGAAAUGGGGAAGAGGGGAGGUGCAGUUUCUGUGCAUGCUGUGUCCACGGAGCAGGUGUCAGCUCCUAAGAGCUGGGAGCCCUGCAGAGCGUCC